Sorex araneus (European shrew) is the source of this 702-nucleotide long non-coding RNA. RefSeq lists it as uncharacterized. NCBI's taxonomy places the organism in Eukaryota, Metazoa, Chordata, Mammalia, Eulipotyphla, Soricidae. The record is from RefSeq and is a predicted model, not a curated record. The transcript is spliced from 3 exons.
GUUGGAGAGACAGUGGACAGUGGACGAGGAGCAGUGUGGAGGAGGCUGCAUUCCUUUCACCCCAUUACAAUGGGCUCAUAAAAUACCCGGAGUUCUGAAGAGACAAAUGGGAAGGUAGCUGGGCCUUAGCCAUUUUGACAGAAGUUUUCUCAAGGGAGCGUGCCACCAGGCAAGUACAUCCUGGCAGAAAGAAGAUGUGAAGUGAAGAGAUCUCCAGGGAUGUGAACUGAAGAAAAACGUUGGAAAGGGAGGAGCAGGAGGCAGAUUUUCUACCUCAUGGAACUAUGUUUGCCUAAUGAAAGAGCCAGCAUUUGGAUGCCCACCAAACAGAGCUUAUCAAUACCCCAGCUUUGGCCAAGAAAGGAUAACAACAGGGGUUCAACUCGAGAGCUUAGAAGAAAUGGAUAGACUCUUAAAAGCAUACACCCUAUCAAGACUGAAUCAUCAAAAAGAAAAUCUGUAAAAUGAAUAAAUAGUAAGGACCGUGUGUAAUCAAAAAUAUCCCAACUACAGCAACAAAAAUAGCAAAAUGGCUCAGAACUCGAUGCUUUUACUGGUGUGUUCUACCAACAUUUAAAGAACAAGUCCUUCUGAAACUCUUCCAGUAAAUUGAGAAGAAUGGAGCAUAUCCAAACACAUUUUUAUGAGACUUGUAUUUGGAAUACAGAAGGCCUUCGUGAUAGCUGCUGAACUGCAAGUGGG